Molecule: long non-coding RNA, 2083 nt
Organism: Zingiber officinale
Lineage: Eukaryota; Viridiplantae; Streptophyta; Magnoliopsida; Zingiberales; Zingiberaceae
Exons: 2
Source: RefSeq, a predicted model, not a curated record
UCGGUUAAUUGUUCAUCCGCAAUUUUUCUCCCCGAAGCUCCCGAUUCCAUCUCUAAUCAUCUCCUCAAGCGCCGAUGUCAGAGGGGGAGUUUCAAGAAAGUUUCUAGACCAUCUUUCGUCCAUCUGGAAGUUCGCCGAAGGGAGGUUUCGACAGUGAAUUUGCAGCUGAUCUGAAUGCUCUGUUUCUGCCUUGUGCGGAGGAGUUUUCCUGUUCCAGCAGCUCCGCCUCAUAGCAGUGAACAAUGGAGGUGUUUCCCCUUUGUUGCUGAGUUCAUUUCGACACCCUUUCACCCACCAUCAGAUCCCCCUUUGAGCAAAAAUUCAGAUCAACAGAUUCUAGUUUUGUGCUUCCAAUUUCGAUUCGAUUCUUGCAUUCAUCAUUGCGGGAGGUCUUUGCAGUGAAGAUUGCACGCUUCAUGUGAUUCCAGCGUUCAGAGCCUACUUGUGCAUCUUCUCCGACGACCUGAGUCGGGAGUUUUCGUCUCCGGCCUCUUGUGCGAUGGCAAAAGUGUGAUGUUUGUGUAGUUGAUUGUGAAUGUGGAUCGGUUUCAUUUCAUUCCUAGUUUAUUUGCUGCUUUAUAUUAGAUUUCAUUUAUGUCUUGCUAUUUCAUACCAUAGAUUACUUGUGUUGAUUGUGAAAUCCAUAGCGUAGAGUGACAAUGUGUUGUGAAUUAAUUGUUGGCACUUACUUAGAUUUCAUUCAAGCUUUAGUUUAAUUUCUUACUUGUUUUGCUAUUUUAAUUGUUAGGUUUAGAAUCGAAAUUAAAACCCCCAUUUACAUAUCAAAAAUCUCAAAAAUAUGAAUAACAUACGAUUCUAAAUUACCAUCCUAUUGUUAGUUCCUCGAGAGAUUCGACCCUGGGCUCAUUAUUACAAUAUCAUUGUGUAGUUAAGGCGUUCAUUGGAUAUAAAUUGUUAAUUUGAUUUACGGGUGUGACAGAUUUUUUAUCAAAGUUUGGCACCGUUGUCGGAGAACUAUAGGGUGUUUGGUAAUUUUUGGAUUGUUUUAAUAUUUUGUUUGGUGCUUAGAUACUUAUUUGUUUUAUAUAUCCAUGUGUUUGAUAUUUUGAGAUUCCUGUGUCUAGUGAUUUUGUUUGUAUCAUUGUUUUAGGUGAGACUAGGAUAUAUAUUCAGUAGCCAUGGAUCCAUUUGAGGCUUUAAUGAUGGAGGGAACUGAAUUUGACGAUAUUGAUCACAUAAAGAAGAGGCUCACUACCAUUAAGUCAAUUCCACUUCCGCUUUGGCUCUUAUUAUUGAACUGUAUUCGCCCACCAGAAAUUCAAUGGAGACACUUAAAUUGACUCCAAGUGGUGCAUGAUCAAGGGUCAACAAGUGGUUCAUCUAACCAAAUGAAGAAGCUCAAACUCAAUUUGAUUCAAUCCAUCCCAAGGAUCUUAACCCAAGUCAAAUCCAUCUCAACAAAACCUUAAUGCUGCAUUUGAAUCUAAGCUAAACCCCCAUCUAAACUCGGUUCAAACAGGAGUAUAUAAACUGGAAUUCUCGCGGAUAUUCAUUUGUGAUUUUUUGCCCUACAUCUCACGAUUCCAUCUCCAAUCAUAUCCUCAAGCGCCGACGUCAGAGAGGGAGUUUCAAGGAAGUUUAUAGACCAUCUUUUGACCAGCUGGAAGUUCGCUGGAGGGAGGUUUCGACGGUGAAUUUGCUGCUGAUUUGAAUGCUCUAUUUCUGCCCUGUUCGGAGGAGUUUUCUCGUUCCAGCGGCUUCGCCUCAUAGCAGUGAACAAUGGAGGUGUUUCCCCUUUGUUGCUGAGUUCAUUUUGACACUCUUUCACCCACCAUCAGAUCCCCCUUUGAGCAAAAAUUUAAAUCGACAGAUUCCAGUUUUGUGCUUCUAAUUUCGAUUCGAUUCUUGCAUUCAUCAUUGUGGAAGAUCUUUGCAAUGAAGAUUGCACGCUUCGUGUGAUUCCAGAGUUCAAAGCCUACUUGUGCAUCUUCUCCGACGACUAGAGUCGGGAGUUUUCGUCUCUGGCCUCUUGUGUGACGGCAAGAGUGUGAUGUUUGUGUAGUUGGUUGUGAAUGUGGAUCAGUUUCAUUUCAUUAUAUUCCUUAGUUUAUUUACUGCUUUA